RNAcentral lists this long non-coding RNA (1568 nucleotides) under Strigops habroptila (Kakapo). RNAcentral describes it as "lncRNA (ENSSHBG00005008907.1)". The record is from RNAcentral. Lineage: Eukaryota; Metazoa; Chordata; Aves; Psittaciformes; Psittacidae.
UAGUGAAUGAAACAUCCUACUUACCAUUUACAUGCCCUGGAAAACCUGAAUGCUGAGCUAUAAGGCACUUACUUAGACAACAACUUGCCAUGUUUGAAAAGCAGCCCUAAGACUGUACCGAACCCACAUACCAGCAAAUACCAACUGCUCUCCAAACCAGCCUAUCGUAGUCUAUUUGCUUUAUGUAACAGUGUCUUUUCACUAAGAGACGAAGUAUCUGCUUUAAAGAUUAACUUUAUCAGACUCUCAUGAAACACUACUAAUAGGAAUGGACAAGAUGUUAAGAAACUCCAUAGGGUUUCUGAAUAACCCUUACUCCUUAGGAUUUUUUUUUUGUCACUGUAUCAGAGAACAACCAUUUUCUACAACCUUCUGGCAACAAGUUUUAUGGGUGCCUUAUCUGUCUCUCUAAAAUUGUUCCUUUGACUUCAACCUCCACCCAUGACACUGCCAUUAUCAUGCUCAGCCUUUGUCUUCCAGUGAUUUAACGCAACACCUUUUCAACACUUCUCUCCUACAUGUGCAGAACAUAAGAACUACAGAGACGAAAGCAGAGCAACUCUUAGCAGAAAAAUUGACAUACAGUAAGACUUAAGAGAUGAACAUAAAGAACAAUAAAACUAACAGAGUUUUCAGCACCUUCCUUACAAGAAUGCAGAAGAAAAAGGAAGAUUAGUAAGUUUUAUAAAUUCUAGAAAUCAUAUUUCAGCACUUUUAAUAGAGGAAUGCACUGCCACAGAAAAACUGAGGUAAAGAACUUGAUGCAAAUCAAAUUAAAAUGAGGCCACAUUUCCUAAACCAAGAAUAGUAUUUCUAAGUAUUCUGUCAUAGUAAGUAUAUUGGUAAGCCUUACAGAGAUUUAAACUUCAGUAAUAUUUCUCUUAUGAAGUUACAAAGAUAACUUCCAGUUGAGAGUGAAAAACUCUGAAGGGAUAUUAAAUAUUAAGAUGGUAUUUUUGCCCUCACUUCACAUCAUAUUUCAAAGACUAAAAAUUCAAUGAGUUCUGGAUCAUUAGUACAGUGAGAAAUGCCAUUUUCCUUUUUUCCCCUACCAUUACACAGAUUUUAAAAGGAGAUUUUUGUGCUUUAAAAGCUACAUUCUCCUAACACUUUUACGAAAACAGCAAGUUAAGAUCUUGUCCUCUGACUCCCAAACCGUUGCUGAAAGCAAGUGAAAAUUACUUGUGACAGUUACUUUUCAUAAAGGCAGCGUUUCCAAAGUGUAUCUGACACCCUUCUGCAAUGUAACAAGACCACUGAUGUGGUGCUUCAAUUUCAAAAGCAUAAGAGAAAUUGUUGAGAUGUCACUAGGAGCUAGACCUUCAAUAUAUAUUAAAUACAGCGUUGGAAAAAAAACCCCAAACCCGCAGCUAAAGGGACAUAUGCAAACCAAUUUUCAGUAAUGCUCUUCAAAAUCCUUUAUUCUCCCCGUGGCUUUCCUCCUUCCCUCCCUCCCGGUGACGUGAAUGGUAUUGUCUGUGCUCUCUUACUAAUGUAACCCUAGUGCAUGUGCUGCUGUACUGAAACAUCAAUAUCCUGCUCCUCAUCAUUGAGACUGCAUUGAACCC